Myotis brandtii (Brandt's bat) is the source of this 661-nucleotide long non-coding RNA. RefSeq lists it as uncharacterized. The record is from RefSeq and is a predicted model, not a curated record. The transcript has 3 exons. NCBI's taxonomy places the organism in Eukaryota, Metazoa, Chordata, Mammalia, Chiroptera, Vespertilionidae.
GAGGUGGCAGUGCCAGCAGCCGGGCAAACAGGACGAACUUCCAGGGACCCUCGAGGUGCCGGACGCUCAGGAGAGACCCCAGACGGCCAGGGUCCCGGCUGAGGGCCCGGAUCCUGCUCCCAGGCGGCAUUUGGCCAAAUCGGGGGCCCUCUUGCAAGAGACGAAUCUGGGAUCAGAACCUGAGUGUGAGGAAUGGGCUCUUAAUCACCAUCGCGUUGGAAUCCACAUCAGAACCCCAGGCUCUGGGACGGCCCCAGGCUGCCCAAAAGAUCCAAAUAUAUCACCACCCUCAGGUGUCCAGAACUCUUGGACCUGCACCUCCCAGGAAAUCCACCAGAUGGUCGCGUGGCCCAGGAACAAGCCCUUGAACCUGACGAUUCCAUUUCUUAGGCAAGGCCCUCGGACUCCUCUUCCCGUGUAACAUCCGCACAGAGGGGCGCGCACGCAGCGAGGGGUGUCUCAGGAGCCGAGCACUCAGGUGUCUGGAUGGAGAACGCGUCUCUCAGCGACGAGUACGACUACAGCCACUAUGGCGAGGAGGUUUCGGAUUUCCCCGUGGACUGCGCCGACGGCACCUGCGUCGCCCUCGGGCCCCUCCGCGUGGCCCCUCUCCUGCUGUACGCGCUGGUCUUCCUGGUGGGGGUGCCGGGCAACGCCAUGG